UACGUAGGUAGCAAGCGUUGUCCGGAUUUAUUGGGUUUAAAGGGUGCGUAGGCGGCUUUGUAAGUCAGUGGUGAAAUAUGGCAGCUUAACUGUCAAGGUGCCAUUGAUACUGCAGAGCUUGAGUACAGAUGAGGUAGGCGGAAUUGACGGUGUAGCGGUGAAAUGCUUAGAUAUCGUCAAGAACACCUAUAGCGAAGGCAGCUUACUAAGCUGUAACUGACGCUGAGGCACGAAAGUGUGGGGAUCAAACAGG
RNAcentral lists this ribosomal RNA (253 nucleotides) under uncultured bacterium. Its description in RNAcentral is "partial 16S ribosomal RNA". It matches the Rfam family "Bacterial small subunit ribosomal RNA", at positions 524 to 776 of the family's 1533-position model. The record is from RNAcentral.